GUGCAAGUAUGGUAAGGGCGGACGGUGGAUCCCUCGGCAGCCGGAGGCGACGAAGGGCGUGGCCAGCUGCGAUAAGCCCCGGGGAGCCGCUGAGCAGGCUAUGAUCCGGGGAUUCCCGAAUGGGGAAACCCACCGUGCCGUUGAGGCACGGUAUCCAGGGCCGAAAUCCCAAGUAAGCCCUGGAGGCGAACCCCGCGAAGUGAAACAUCUCAGUAGCGGGAGGAAGAGAAAUCAACACCUGUUCCCGCAAGGGAGCAGGCGCGCCCGCCAAAAGCGGGCGUGGAGAUUCCCCUAGUAGCGGCGAGCGAACGGGGAGGAGCCCAAACCCCACGGAUGCCCAAGCCCGCAGGCGUUGUCCGUGGGGGGUAGCGGGACGGCGACGGGGAGGGCUGCGGACCUCCCAGGGAGUUACAAAAGCCUCCUCUAGCCGAACAGCCAGCAAAGCCACUGGAAAGGGCGACCGGAGAGGGUGAUAGUCCCGUAGGCGAAAGGGGAGGCUCUCCUGGGUUGCCGUUCCCAAGUAGCGUCGGACACGGGGAAUCCGGCGCGAAUCUGGGGGGACCACCCUCCAAGGCUAAACACUACCGGCUGACCGAUAGCGCACCAGUACCGCGAGGGAAAGGUGAAAAGAACCCCGGGAGGGGAGUGAAAUAGAACGUGAAACCGUCCGCUCACAGUGCAGUGGUAGCCGGGAACCGCCUCCGCGAGGGGGCGGGGAACGGUGGCCGCGUGCCUUUUGCAGUAUGAGCCGGCGAGUUGUGCUCGGUGGCGAGGCUAAGCGAUUCUUUCGCGGAGCCGUAGGGAAACCGAGUCCGAACAGGGCGACCAGUCACCGGGCACAGACCCGAAGCCAGGCGAUCUACCCGUGGGCAGGGUGAAGUGCGCGUAACAGCGCAUGGAGGCCCGAACCGGUUGACCGUGCAAAGUCAUCGGAUGACCUGCGGGUAGGGGUGAAAGGCCAAUCGCGCCUGGGGAUAUCUGGCUCUCCCCGAAAUGGCUUUUGGGUCAGCCUCACGCGCAGGCGGCCGGGGGUAGAGCACUGGCUGGGGAAGGGGGGCAACUCCCGACCCCAAUCAAACUCCGAAUACCGGCCGUCGGUCCGUGGGAGUGAGUCUGUGGGGGAUAACCUCCAUGGACAAGAGGGAAACAACCCAGACCACCAGCUAAGGCCCCAAAAUCCGGGCUAAGUGGGGAAGGCGGUGUGGCCGCCCAGACAGCGGGGAGGUUGGCUUAGAAGCAGCCAUCCUUUAAAGAGUGCGUAACAGCUCACCCGUCUAGCGGCCGCGCGCCGAAAACUCAACGGGGCUAAGCCCGGUGCCGAAGCUGUGGGUGGGGCCCUUCCCAGGGCCCCGCGGUAGGGGAGCAUUCCGCCGUAGGUCGAAGCCGGGUCGCGAGGCCCGGUGGACGAAGCGGAAGAGAGAAUGCCGGCAUGAGUAGCGCGAGGCGGGUGAGAAUCCCGCCCACCGAAUGCCCAAGGUUUCCUGGGGAAGGCUGAUCCGCCCAGGGUUAGGCGGGACCUAAGCCGAAGCCGAAAGGCGUAGGUGAUGGACAGCCGGUCAACAUUCCGGCCCCUCCGGACCCGCGUUACGAGCGAAGGGGGGACGCCGGUGGACCUUCCCCGCGGGCUUACGGCUACGCCCGUCCAAGCGUCGAGCCAGGGGGGAUAGGUAAAUCCGUCUCCCCGAAACCGCUCUGUCCCGCCCGAUGAGGGCGGGGCGGGGCGAAGAGGCGAGGCGUGAUGGCGAGCCCCGUAAGGGGCGAAGGGGGAACGGUUCAGCGGCCGAGAAAAGCCUCUAGCCAGCUGGUCCGGAGCCCGUACCGCAAACCGACACAGGUGGGCAGGGGGAGUACCCCAAGGUGGGCGAGCUAACCCCGGUCAAGGAACUCGGCAAAAUGGCCCCGUAACUUCGGGAGAAGGGGUGCCCUUGGGGUUGUCGGGGAUGACCCGAUGGCCCUGGGGGCCGCAGAGAAUCGGCGGGGGCGACUGUUUACCAAAAACACAGGUCCCUGCUAACCCGUAAGGGGAUGUAUAGGGGCUGAAACCUGGCCACUGCCGGUAGGUUAAGGGGAGGGGUGCAAGCCCCGAACUGAAGCCCCGGUGAAGGCCGGCCGUAACUAUAACGGUCCUAAGGUAGCGCAAUUCCUUGUCGGGUAAGUUCCGACGCGCAUGAAAGGAACAACGACUCCCGCGCUGUCUUGACCGGGGGCUCGGUGAACUCGAAGCACGGGUGAAGAUGCCCGUGACCCGCGGUGGGACAGAAAGACCCCGUGGAGCUUUACUGCAGCUUGGCGUUGGGUCCUGACAUCCACUGUAGAGGAUAGGUGGGAGGCUGAGAAGCCCGGGCGCCAGCUCGGGUGGAGCCGCCGGUGGAAUACCACCCUGUGGCUGUUGGGGCCCUAACCAGGGGCCGUGACGAGCGGUUCCGGGACAGCGCUAGGCGGGCAGUUUUGCUGGGGCGGCAGCCUCCUAAAGGGUAACGGAGGCGCCCAAAGGUCCCCUCAGGCGGGUUAGCGAUCCGCCGGUGAGUGCAAGGGCAGAAGGGGGCUUGACUGCGAGGCCUACAAGCCGAGCAGGGGCGAAAGCCGGGCCUAGUGACCCACCGGUUCCUCGUGGGAGGGCCGGUGAUCAACGGAUAAAAGCUACCCCGGGGAUAACAGGCUAGUCUCCCCCGAGAGUUCACAUCGACGGGGAGGAUCGGCACCUCGAUGUCGGCUCACCCCAUCCUGGGGCUGCAUCAGGUCCCAAGGGUCGGUCUGUUCGCCCGUUAAAGGGGUUCAUGAGCUGGGUUCAGACCGUCGUGAGACAGGUCGGUCCCUAUCUACCGCGGGCGCAGGAGGCUUGAGGGGGUCCGUCCCUAGUACGAGAGGACCGGGACGGCCGAGCCGCUGGCGUACCAGCUGUCCCGCCCGGGGCACCGCUGGGUAGCUAAAGCUCGGACCGGAUAAGAGCUGAAGGCAUCUAAGCUCGAAGCCGACCCCAAGAUGAGGCCUCCCCAUCAGGGCCCAGGGAGACUACCUGGUGGAUAGGCCGCAGGUGGAAGCCCGGCAACGGGUGGAGCCGAGCGGUACUAAUCGCCCGAUUGGCUUGCAC
RNAcentral lists this ribosomal RNA (3091 nucleotides) under Candidatus Acetothermia bacterium. Its description in RNAcentral is "23S ribosomal RNA". It matches the Rfam family "Bacterial large subunit ribosomal RNA". Lineage: Bacteria; Candidatus Bipolaricaulota. The record is from RNAcentral.